UCCUUUAUGACUUUUAAAGGAUCU
RNAcentral lists this transfer RNA (24 nucleotides) under Sphenomorphus melanopogon. RNAcentral's name for it is "partial tRNA-Leu". The record is from RNAcentral. Lineage: Eukaryota; Metazoa; Chordata; Lepidosauria; Squamata; Scincidae.